Drosophila nasuta is the source of this 827-nucleotide long non-coding RNA. RefSeq lists it as uncharacterized. The transcript has 3 exons. The record is from RefSeq and is a predicted model, not a curated record. Lineage: Eukaryota; Metazoa; Arthropoda; Insecta; Diptera; Drosophilidae.
UUGGAAUAAUUCUCAUUUCAAAUUUUAAUCAAGAAACCUAAUCAUUCUCGUAAUAUUUAGUUUAAAAAAAUGCAUGGAGUGUUCAUAUUUAUUAUUGGCGGUAUUGUUGGUUUUCUAAUCGCCAAAAAUAUCGAUCGUCUGAUUGAAAUAGAUUGGAGUUGUUGAAAUUGAAGUACCAGAAGAAAUGUCUCAUCUCAUUACUUUUACUCUUGGCAUUGUAGUUGGUAUGAUGGUCUCGAGAAGCUGCAAUCCAUAAUCGAAAUAAACAAAAUGUAAUCAUGUAAAAUGUUUGAAUUAAAAUAGAGUUUACUAACAUUGCCGCGAAGCUAAUUCAAUGAUUUCUUUAAAUACAUGUUUACCGCAUUUUUAAAAUUAAGUCACGUACUUAAAAUAAAACAAUAAUGAAUUUAAAGUAAAAUUAUCUAAAUCUAUGAGGAAAUGAAAAUAUCCCUUACCUUUUUCAAUCUAGCUCGCCUCGUUUUCUUCAUCAUACUAUUUUUGAAUAAUUCUCACUUAAAAUUUUAAACAAGAAACCUAAACAUAUCUCGGAAUAACUGUUUUGAAAAAUGCAUGGAGUUCUAAUAUUUAUUAUCGGUGGUGUUGUUGGUUUUCUAAUUGCUAAAAACAUUGAUCAAAUAGAUUGGAGAAGUUGGAGUUGAAGUAUCAGAAGAUAUGACACAUCUCAUAAGUUUUGUUCUCGGCAUUGUAGUGGGCAUGAUGGUCUCAAAAAAAUGCAAUCCUUAAAAGAAAUAAACAAAAUUUGAUCAUGAUGUAAGAUGCUUAAAUAAAAAUGGAAAAUUAUUAACUUUGCCACAAAGUUAAUUUAA